This 497-nucleotide ribosomal RNA is filed under the name uncultured bacterium. Its description in RNAcentral is "partial 16S ribosomal RNA". It matches the Rfam family "Bacterial small subunit ribosomal RNA", at positions 28 to 507 of the family's 1533-position model. The record is from RNAcentral.
GAUGAACGCUGGCGGCGUGCCUAAUACAUGCAAGUCGAGCGAACAGAUAAGGAGCUUGCUCCUUUGACGUUAGCGGCGGACGGGUGAGUAACACGUGGAUAACCUACCUAUAAGACUGGGAUAACUUCGGGAAACCGGAGCUAAUACCGGAUAACAUAUUGAACCGCAUGGUUCAAUAGUCAAAGGCGGCUUUGCUGUCACUUAUAGAUGGAUCCGCGCCGUAUUAGCUAGUUGGUAAGGUAACGGCUUACCAAGGCAACGAUACGUAGCCGACCUGAGAGGGUGAUAGGCCACACUGGAACUGAGACACGGUCCAGACUCCUACGGGAGGCAGCAGUAGGGAAUCUUCCGCAAUGGGCGAAAGCCUGACGGAGCAACGCCGCGUGAGUGAUGAAGGUCUUCGGAUCGUAAAACUCUGUUAUCAGGGAAGAACAAAUGUGUAAGUAACUGUGCACAUCUUGACGGUACCUGAUCAGAAAGCCACGGCUAACUACGUG